UUGAACUGCUAGCGAAGAAUCAUCUUAAGAAAAGUAUGUGCCAAAAAUGCAGAGCAAUUCCGCUCACAUGUACAUACAGUUGUCACUUCAAUUUGAAACAUGGAUAAUAUUUCUUAACUUAGUGAACCGCAUGACAUAGAAAUCAACCCAAUCCUGUCGAAACAUACAUUAAGUUGUUAACUAAACAGAGCAGCUAAAGAUCUAAAGGCGGGGAAGAGGAAUACAGUUGGGUGCCAGCAACCGAAGAAAGGCUGCCACACACGUAAAAAGGUGGCGAUGAGUGCCGGCGGCUAGUCAAGGUCCAUGUAUCGUUGAGAAUUUGAAGGACACAAAGAUGGAUGGCUGCAAGAAGAUUAAAUUGCUUGUUGGACAUGAUAAAAAAUAUAUGAGAGCCAAAAUUACAUUAAGCAAUAGUAAGAAGUUGAUAAAUUGUACACUAUCACAAUUGCGGCAAGACAAAGAUCAUUUGCUCACAAAGCAGAAAACUAUUUAAUCAGAAUAGAAAAAAUACAACCACACAGGUACUAAUGUUAAAGGUGAAUUAAAAAAUAAAAUGUCCGUCAGUGCAUGAUACGAGGUCAUGGCCAGCUCAUAUUAAAUAGCAGCGUUCAACAUUGAUCAUGUUGAGUUGAAAGAGAUCACCUGAAUAUAAAUCCCACGGUCCCAUAGACCGUGUUUUGCAAAACAUCAUGAUGCAGUGAUAUAAUGGUUGAAAUUCUAAAAGGGUAACUUCUUAUUUUUUUCAGUAUUCUGCAAUAGAAGAAAAGAAACACUCGGUAUGGCAUAACGAAAAAUUGCAAUAGUAAAAUAAUUCAUAUAGCUACAGCUGGUAGGUGAACAGUUCUUAGAGAGCGAACAUCCAACCCGAAGUCCUAAAUUAGCAUGUUGGUAGUUGCUACUCAGUUUACAAAUAGAAAAAACCAACCUAAAUAUCCAGGAAUCACGUGAUUCAAGCUAUAGGUACUUAUUUAUUUUAAAUAGAUUUUUUUCCACCAUGGCUGACACAUAUUGAAUAUCUAUCAAAGAAAUAACAAUGUGUAUUGCAAAGACAAGAAAGCAGGAGGACAUACCUAUUUAAUCAAUUCAGGGGCUUCCCUUGACUCGAGAUUAACCUUGGCACCGAUUUGAAUAGGACUUCAGUUUUGGGAGGGAAAUGCUGUCAACAGAGGCC
Molecule: long non-coding RNA, 1171 nt
Filed under: Triticum aestivum (bread wheat)
Lineage: Eukaryota; Viridiplantae; Streptophyta; Magnoliopsida; Poales; Poaceae
Description: long non-coding RNA (TAES_LNC007023)
Source: RNAcentral